Molecule: small nuclear RNA, 164 nt
Filed under: Salvator merianae (Argentine black and white tegu)
Lineage: Eukaryota; Metazoa; Chordata; Lepidosauria; Squamata; Teiidae
Description: U1 spliceosomal RNA (ENSSMRG00000006079.1)
Rfam family: U1 spliceosomal RNA
About the family: U1 is a small nuclear RNA (snRNA) component of the spliceosome (involved in pre-mRNA splicing). Its 5' end forms complementary base pairs with the 5' splice junction, thus defining the 5' donor site of an intron.
Source: Rfam by way of RNAcentral
AUACUCACCUGGCAGGGGAGACACCAUGAUCCUAAAGGUGGUUUUUCCAGAAUGGGGCUUAUCCAUUGCUCUCUGGGCUUGCAGCCCCCCGCAAUUUCCCCAAAUGCGGGAAACUCAACUGCAUAAUUUGUGGUAGUGGAGGACUGUGUUUGCACUUUCCCUUG